UACAUGUGGGGCAAGCGUUGUUCGGAAUUACUGGGCAUAAAGGGUGCGUAGGUGGCUUGCUAAGUCAGUGGUGAAAUCGUCCGGCCCAACCGGACGCCUGCCAAUGAUACUGGUGAGCUCGAGUGCGUGAGGGGUGGGGGGAACGAGCAGUGUAGCGGUGAAAUGCGUAGAUAUUGCUCGGAAGGCCAAAGCCGAAGGGACCCCACUGGUACGUAACUGACACUGAGGCACGAAAGCGUGGGUAGCAAACAGG
Molecule: ribosomal RNA, 253 nt
Filed under: uncultured bacterium
Lineage: Bacteria
Description: partial 16S ribosomal RNA
Rfam family: Bacterial small subunit ribosomal RNA
Source: RNAcentral